Molecule: long non-coding RNA, 553 nt
Organism: Macadamia integrifolia
Lineage: Eukaryota; Viridiplantae; Streptophyta; Magnoliopsida; Proteales; Proteaceae
Exons: 2
Source: RefSeq, a predicted model, not a curated record
ACUGCUGUGAGCAAAAUGAAAACAGAGAAGGAGAAAGAAGGGAGAAAAAAGAAGAGAGAAGAAAAGGAAAGGAAGUAGAAGGAAAGAAGGGAAGAAGUGAGAGAGACUGCAGCUUCUCCCUUCUCUCUGCUGUGCUCUUGCUACUGGAGAUGUUGCUGCUGCUGCAGCCAUGCGCACAGAUACUGCCAAGUACUGCUAUUGCUGCUGGGAGCUAGGACCCGAGUUGCACAGCUACUGGUGGACUCACCUGUACAUCUCGAGAACACAGAAUAGGAGCCGAAAUGGAGAUGGUUAGAAGAUUUGUUCGGUUAUGGAGAUAUUUAAGUAAACACUCACAGAGGAGAUUCAUGAUGUAUACCAUGUAUUAUAAAUUUAGUUGAAUGUAAGACUUACAAGUUAUUCAUUAUAACCUGUGGAUUUAUUUGUACGGGCCUGUAAUAUUACAUAUAUCAUUGUAGAUGAUCACCAUGCAUAUCAUAUGAUUUAUGUUAUGAAUUCAUUAUGUAUACUCUGAUUUAGUAGUAAGUCAAGUGGUGGGUUUAGUUAUUACCCA